This 690-nucleotide ribosomal RNA is filed under the name uncultured bacterium. RNAcentral's name for it is "bacterial SSU rRNA". It matches the Rfam family "Bacterial small subunit ribosomal RNA", at positions 77 to 760 of the family's 1533-position model. The record is from RNAcentral.
AGCUUGCUCCCUGGGUGACGAGCGGCGGACGGGUGAGUAAUGUCUGGGAAACUGCCUGAUGGAGGGGGAUAACUACUGGAAACGGUAGCUAAUACCGCAUAACGUCGCAAGACCAAAGAGGGGGACCUUCGGGCCUCUUGCCAUCAGAUGUGCCCAGAUGGGAUUAGCUAGUAGGUGGGGUAAUGGCUCACCUAGGCGACGAUCCCUAGCUGGUCUGAGAGGAUGACCAGCCACACUGGAACUGAGACACGGUCCAGACUCCUACGGGAGGCAGCAGUGGGGAAUGUUGCACAAUGGGCGCAAGCCUGAUGCAGCCAUGCCGCGUGUGUGAAGAAGGCCUUCGGGUUGUAAAGCACUUUCAGCGAGGAGGAAGGUGGUGAACUUAAUACGUUCAUCAAUUGACGUUACUCGCAGAAGAAGCACCGGCUAACUCCGUGCCAGCAGCCGCGGUAAUACGGAGGGUGCAAGCGUUAAUCGGAACUACUGGGCGUAAAGCGCACGCAGGCGGUUUGUUAAGUCAGAUGUGAAAUCCCCGGGCUCAACCUGGGAACUGCAUUUGAAACUGGCAAGCUAGAGUCUCGUAGAGGGGGGUAGAAUUCCAGGUGUAGCGGUGAAAUGCGUAGAGAUCUGGAGGAAUACCGGUGGCGAAGGCGGCCCCCUGGACGAAGACCGACGCUCAGGUGCGAAAGC